This 83-nucleotide transfer RNA is filed under the name Bacillota bacterium. RNAcentral describes it as "tRNA-Ala". It matches the Rfam family "tRNA", at positions 15 to 71 of the family's 71-position model. From Rfam's summary of the family: Transfer RNA (tRNA) molecules are approximately 80 nucleotides in length. The record is from RNAcentral. Lineage: Bacteria; Bacillati; Bacillota.
GAGGGUAUUGUGAAAGGACAGUCUGGGAGAGCGCUUGACUGGCAGUCAAGAGGUCAGCGGUUCAAUCCCGCUUAUCUCCACCA